GAUGAACGCUGGCGGCGUGCCUAAAACAUGCAAGUCGAGCGAACAGACGAGGAGCUUGCUCCUCUGACGUUAGCGGCGGACGGGUGAGUAACACGUGGAUAACCUACCUAUAAGACUGGGAUAACUUCGGGAAACCGGAGCUAAUACCGGAUAAUAUAUUGAACCGCAUGGUUCAAUAGUGAAAGACGGUUUUGCUGUCACUUAUAGAUGGAUCCGCGCCGCAUUAGCUAGUUGGUAAGGUAACGGCUUACCAAGGCGACGAUGCGUAGCCGACCUGAGAGGGUGAUCGGCCACACUGGAACUGAGACACGGUCCAGACUCCUACGGGAGGCAGCAGUAGGGAAUCUUCCGCAAUGGGCGAAAGCUUGACGGAGCAACGCCGCGUGAGUGAUGAAGGUCUUCGGAUCGUAAAACUCUGUUAUUAGGGAAGAACAAAUGUGUAAGUAACUAUGCACGUCUUGACGGUACCUAAUCAGAAAGCCACGGCUAACUACGUG
RNAcentral lists this ribosomal RNA (497 nucleotides) under uncultured bacterium. RNAcentral's name for it is "partial 16S ribosomal RNA". It matches the Rfam family "Bacterial small subunit ribosomal RNA", at positions 28 to 507 of the family's 1533-position model. The record is from RNAcentral.